AUAUCUUCGAGGCUUUUCCCCACUUUCUCCUCUAUAAGUUUCAAAUUUCUUUCUUAGCCUGUUUAUCCUUUGUGUCCCACUCCCACUUUUUGGCCCUGGCGUUCCCCUGUACUGUGGCAUAUAAAGUUUGCAAGUCCAAUGGGCCUCUCUUUCCAGUGAUGGCCGACUAGGACAUCUUUUGAUAUUUCUUUAAGUGCGUUAUUAAAGUCGUUCUUGAUGUCCUCUACCAUCAUCAUGAGAUAUGCCUUUAAAUCCGGGUCCAGCUUUUCGGGUGUGUUGGGGUACCUCGGACUGGCUGAAGUGGGAGUGCUGGGUUCUGAUGAUGAGAAGGUGCAUAGAUAUCUACUGUGCAGACUAGUCUUGGAGGGAUCCUGGAAGGAAGAUGGCUCCCUCGGAUGCUAAGGCAAAGCCCUCCCGUGCGGAGUGGACACCUGUCUUCUGGCAGGGAAGGUGCCCGGUUAUCUGAAGCCUGUGCAGACUAGUCUUGGCAGGAUCCAGGAACCAAGAUGUCCGGCAGAUGUUCCAGCAACAGCUUCCCAGGCCGGGCGGACACCUCUCCUCUGGCAGGGAAGGUGCCUGGAUAGCUGAAAUAGACAUUUCCAUUUGCUUAAUAAAGUAUAUAUUCUACAUG
Molecule: long non-coding RNA, 631 nt
Filed under: Mus caroli (Ryukyu mouse)
Lineage: Eukaryota; Metazoa; Chordata; Mammalia; Rodentia; Muridae
Description: predicted gene 28237 (MGP_CAROLIEiJ_G0004333.1)
Source: RNAcentral